ACAUUUUGUUUGAUGUUCUAGCCUCUAAUGUAACCGCACCACAGAGAAUUACAAAAUAAUACCUCAUAAAUUAAAAAAUGUGUAUAUACAACUCAAAUCAAAUCCAACACCUACCAGAUUUGAGUACUAUACUAAGAACACAAUAUCAUUAAUUUUCCUAUAUCAUUCUGAAUUAGAGAAUUUUUUUUACAUAAUUGAGCAAUUCAAAAGUGUAGCAGUAGCUGCAGCUGCAGUUGAUGCCAUAACAUCGCUAUUGAUUGAACAUUCACAGCAGAACUAACCACUACCACUGAUGUAAGAUGCUCGCGCUCAACUCCCAUAGCCUCAAUAGCUUCAACACACUGUAUUGCUACCAAUGUUGAAGCAGAACCAUAGCCAUAUCAGUUUUCGCCAUGUGCUCAUCCUUUCCGCCACCAGAUGAGGCUGUUGUAGCUGCUGCAAUAGAAACAACACCAGCAGCAACUCCUGCAACCGACACAACAGCAUGAAGUUGUGAAUUAUGUGCCCUCAUCUCCUAUUUUUUCUUCUCCCUCCUAUCCUUUAACCACUUACCCACCAUCUUCCCUUCUUUACCACCACCACCAAUAACAGCCGAGCUAGUAGCAGCAACACUACUCCUGUACUGGUUAUAAAUUGGUACAUUAUUCAGAUGACUGUAUUGAAGAUGACAAAUUAAACUUUUGGAGUCUCAACUGGAAGUCAAAGUUAUGAAAACCUUCGAUAGUUUCUUACCAAGUCAAUUGAGUUGCAUCAGUCAUGCCGACGUCCCGAAGGAACCUGCGAAUUGAAUUGAGAAUCAAGUAAGGAAGGCCAUAAUUUGAUUAUUUGGAGAGAGCAUGAGAGAUGAUAAUAUGGUUUCUUAAAAGGAGAAGAAAAUAUAAAAUUCUGUAGUAUAACGCAAGCUCCGGAAGACAUUGGAGAUGCUUAAGCUAUUUAGAGACAGUUCAGCAAUAGAAAGCUCUUUACAGACUGUCCAGCAAUUAAAAUUAUCUGGCAACUGGAUUAAUGAGGCAUCAACUAAAAAAUCUUUGAAACACCACCAGAACGAUUUCAUUUAUGCUCAAAUCAAAGGUGUAAAUUUUAAAAUGUACAUUCAGCAAUGAGACACUGAGGCUAACUUUUUAGUUGUUACAGGCGAAUAGAUGCACAUAAUUAUGAAAUCCGAACCUAUACGUUCAUGCUUAACGAACUCUUGAAGACUGCAAAACUCGUAAAUACAUGGCUAUCUACUCUAGUUUGAUCAUUCAAAUUAGAAUCUACUGCAUUAAUAAAAGGGUAAAUUACACUAAACACCCCUGUAAAAUAAACUUUCAAAGUUCGGAAAGCUUCAGCAGUAAAUUGAGUUUAGCUACUUAUGGUAAGGUUUACCCAAUUGAAUGGUAGGCAAAUUCGAGUAUUUGUUGGCUUUAUAGGGAAUCAUUUAGGUUAUCGAGCUCAACCUGUUGGGACAAUAAAGAUCAGGUCAACCUUAACUCUAUUAGAUAUCAGUUCAGAAAGGAAGGGAAAAAGAAUGGCUUAGCUCAGUGAAACAAAGCUAGAUCUGUGAAGAAGGAGUUGAAGAAGUCUUCAUGAGGUAUCUAUUUCAUGACAUUGUAUGACGUUGUGAUGUCUUAGGUGAAAUCAGUCCAAACUCAACCCCAAGAUAGAGAUGAGUUAGGUUUCAUGAUGAUAAGCUCGUAACAAACCUCUCCAUAAGCGUUACUCUUCAACGGCGGCCAUGAAUGAUCGACGAAGAUGAAGAGAUCACAGCAUUGAACUUUCCAUCCUCAGCUGUCUGCUUGAUUAUUGAUGGUAGGUGUUAAGUUACGAAAAUACCCUUGAUGUUGGUAUUAUUUACCAAAAUACCCUUCGUCGUAAACCAGAUGCAGGUGUCCCCACAUGUUAAAUCGCGUGAGAUUUAUAUGCAAGAUGCA
RNAcentral lists this long non-coding RNA (1913 nucleotides) under Capsicum annuum. RNAcentral describes it as "long non-coding RNA (CANN_LNC009777)". Lineage: Eukaryota; Viridiplantae; Streptophyta; Magnoliopsida; Solanales; Solanaceae. The record is from RNAcentral.